RNAcentral lists this ribosomal RNA (593 nucleotides) under uncultured eukaryote. RNAcentral's name for it is "SSU rRNA". It matches the Rfam family "Eukaryotic small subunit ribosomal RNA", at positions 587 to 1187 of the family's 1831-position model. The record is from RNAcentral.
AGCUCCAAUAGCGUAUAUUUAAGUUGUUGCAGUUAAAAAGCUCGUAGUUGGAUUUUGGGUUGGUGUGGUCGGUCUGCUUUCUAGUUGAACUGGCUACUCCAUCCUUCUUGCCGGGGACGCGUUCUGGCCUUAAUUGGCUGGGACGCGGAGUCGGCGAUGUUACUUUGAAAAAAUUAGAGUGUUCAAAGCAGGCCUACGCUCUGAAUACAUUAGCAUGGAAUAACGUGAUAGGACUCUGGUCCUAUUGUGUUGGUCUUCGGGACCGGAGUAAUGAUUAAUAGGGACAGUUGGGGGCAUUCGUAUUUCAUUGUCAGAGGUGAAAUUCUUGGAUUUAUGAAAGACGAACUUCUGCGAAAGCAUUUGCCAAGGAUGUUUUCAUUAAUCAAGAACGAAAGUUGGGGGCUCGAAGACGAUCAGAUACCGUCCUAGUCUCAACCAUAAACGAUGCCGACUAGGGAUUGGCGGAUGUUACAUCGAUGACUCCGCCAGCACCUUAUGAGAAAUCAAAGUUUUUGGGUUCCGGGGGGAGUAUGGUCGCAAGGCUGAAACUUAAAGGAAUUGACGGAAGGGCACCACCAGGAGUGGAGCCUGCG